AGCAGCCGCGGUAAUUCCAGCUCCAAUAGCGUAUAUUAAAGUUGUUGCAGUUAAAAAGCUCGUAGUUGAAUUUCGGGAUUGACGUGAUGGUCGUGCCUUACGGGGUAUGAACUGUUGCAGUCAAUUUCUCACCUUCUGGAGAAAUAUGAUGUCCUUAAUUGGGUGUCAUAUGGAACCAGAACUUUUACCUUGAAAAAAUUAGAGUGUUUAAAGCAGGCUUAUUGCUCGAAUACAUUAGCAUGGAAUAAUAAAAUAGGACGGCAUGGUUCUAUUUUGUUGGUUUCUAGGAUCACCGUAAUGAUUAAUAGGGAUAGUUGGGGGCGAUUAGUAUUCAAUUGUCAGAGGUGAAAUUCUUGGAUUUAUUGAAGACUAACUACUGCGAAAGCAUUUGCCAAGGAUGUUUUCAUUAAUCAAGAACGAAAGUUAGGGGAUCGAAGACGAUCAGAUACCGUCGUAGUCUUAACCAUAAACUAUGCCGACUAGGAAUCAGACGAUGUUAAUUUUUUAAUGACUCGUUUGG
RNAcentral lists this unclassified non-coding RNA (520 nucleotides) under uncultured Entrophospora. Its description in RNAcentral is "SSU rRNA". It matches the Rfam family "Eukaryotic small subunit ribosomal RNA", at positions 569 to 1083 of the family's 1831-position model. The record is from RNAcentral. Lineage: Eukaryota; Fungi; Glomeromycota; Glomeromycetes; Entrophosporales; Entrophosporaceae.